Molecule: ribosomal RNA, 691 nt
Filed under: Bacillus sp. Y801
Lineage: Bacteria; Bacillati; Bacillota; Bacilli; Caryophanales; Bacillaceae
Description: bacterial SSU rRNA
Rfam family: Bacterial small subunit ribosomal RNA
Source: RNAcentral
GCAGUCGAGCGAAUGGAUUAAGAGCUUGCUCUUAUGAAGUUAGCGGCGGACGGGUGAGUAACACGUGGGUAACCUGCCCAUAAGACUGGGAUAACUCCGGGAAACCGGGGCUAAUACCGGAUAACAUUUUGAACUGCAUGGUUCGAAAUUGAAAGGCGGCUUCGGCUGUCACUUAUGGAUGGACCCGCGUCGCAUUAGCUAGUUGGUGAGGUAACGGCUCACCAAGGCAACGAUGCGUAGCCGACCUGAGAGGGUGAUCGGCCACACUGGGACUGAGACACGGCCCAGACUCCUACGGGAGGCAGCAGUAGGGAAUCUUCCGCAAUGGACGAAAGUCUGACGGAGCAACGCCGCGUGAGUGAUGAAGGCUUUCGGGUCGUAAAACUCUGUUGUUAGGGAAGAACAAGUGCUAGUUGAAUAAGCUGGCACCUUGACGGUACCUAACCAGAAAGCCACGGCUAACUACGUGCCAGCAGCCGCGGUAAUACGUAGGUGGCAAGCGUUAUCCGGAAUUAUUGGGCGUAAAGCGCGCGCAGGUGGUUUCUUAAGUCUGAUGUGAAAGCCCACGGCUCAACCGUGGAGGGUCAUUGGAAACUGGGAGACUUGAGUGCAGAAGAGGAAAGUGGAAUUCCAUGUGUAGCGGUGAAAUGCGUAGAGAUAUGGAGGAACACCAGUGGCGAAGGCGACUUUC